GAUGAAGAACGUAGCGAAAUGCGAUAAGUAGUGUGAAUUGCAGAAUUCAGUGAGUCAUCGAAUCUUUGAACGCACAUUGCGCCCCUUGGUAUUCCAUGGGGCAUGCCUGUUCGAGCGUCAUUUGUACCUUCAAGCUUUGCUUGGUGUUGGGUGUUUGUCUCGCCUUUGCGUGUAGACUCGCCUUAAAAUAAUUGGCAGCCGGCGUAUUGAUUUCGGAGCGCAGUACAUCUCGCGCUUUGCACUCAUAACGACAGCGUCCAAAAGUACAUUUUACACUCUUGACCUCGGAUCAGGUAGGGAUACCCGCUGAACUUAAGCAUAUCAAUAAGCGGAGGA
Molecule: unclassified non-coding RNA, 336 nt
Filed under: soil metagenome
Description: partial contains 5.8S ribosomal RNA, internal transcribed spacer 2, and large subunit ribosomal RNA
Rfam family: 5.8S ribosomal RNA (bases 1-120)
Source: RNAcentral